This 468-nucleotide ribosomal RNA is filed under the name uncultured bacterium. RNAcentral describes it as "partial 16S ribosomal RNA". It matches the Rfam family "Bacterial small subunit ribosomal RNA", at positions 28 to 507 of the family's 1533-position model. The record is from RNAcentral.
GACGAACGCUGGCGGCGUGCUUAACACAUGCAAGUCGAACGGAAAGGCCCUGCUUUUGUGGGGUGCUCGAGGGGCGAACGGGUGAGUAACACGUGAGUAACCUGCCCUUGACUUUGGGAUAACUUCAGGAAACUGGGGCUAAUACCGGAUAGGAGCUCCUGCUGCAUGGUGGGGGUUGGAAAGUUUCGGCGGUUGGUGAUGGACUCGCGGCUUAUCAGCUUGUUGGUUGGGUAGUGGCUUACCAAGGCUUUGACGGGUAGCCGGCCUGAGAGGGUGACCGGCCACAUUGGGACUGAGCUACGGCCCAGACUCCUACGGGAGGCAGCAGUGCGGAAUAUUGCACAAUGGGCGGAAGCCUGAUGCAGCAACGCCGCGUGCGGGAUGACGGCCUUCGGGUUGUAAACCGCUUUCGCCUGUGACGAAGCGUGAGUGACGGUAAUGGGUAAAGAAGCACCGGCUAACUACGUG